AGUUGAGCUCAUAACGAUAUCGAAUUUUACAAGCCAAAUUUUCUUUCAUUAAAUCUUUUGUGUUUGGACUUGCCUAUAAAAGAAGGAUAAAGUCCAAAUCAAAUUAUAAUAUUUGGGCACUAUUUUUCUGUUCAUAAAAAGCAGCCCAAAGAGAUUUUUAUUCACCACAAUCCCACUUCUUUUCCGCUACAAACGUGAUUCUGUUCCACUAUCUACACUUUUAAAUCCCACAAUGAAUCCCAACAAUCUUGCUAUCACAUAAUCUACUCCAUUCACUUUUCUUGAUUUCAUCAAUGGCGGCCGAUUCAUCAUCUUCCGAUGCCAAAGUCCACAUAAUUUACACAGAACAGCAGGGAUGGACGACGGCACUACUCGGCUACCCGGCGAAUCUCGAACAACAGCAACGGUGCAGAGGUGUAGCGAGAGAGAAUGUUAUUCUUGAAUUGUAGGCGGAAUCUGGUGGAGAGAUUAUCGGACUCCAAAUGACAGGCGCUGUGUUUUGAGAGAGAUUGGAUGGAGGGAGAAGAGAUGACGACGGAGGGGUCCACGGGCUCAGCGAUGGCGGAUAACAGCCGGUGAAUACGGAGCCGAAGGCUGUCCGGUUUGGCAGCAGCUGCAGCGACUCACGGCGGCGCUGCGAUGCGAGAGAACAGAGACGGGGCUUUAGGGUUUAGGGUAUACUCCCUAAACUCCGUUCAAGGUUGAGCGGUGACGAGCGCGGUGGGUGUUGAGCAUGAAAGUGAAAAAGGUAGUAAAUAAAAUUAUCUGAAUAUAUUAUGUCUUCAUACAUAAUAGUAUUCUACUCUCGAAUGCUUCCGCUGAAUGUUGUUUCUUUUGAGUUUAUGUAUUGUUGGGAUAUAAUCCCUUUGAGUUGUCAAUUGUUGAGGAUACUCUGAUUUUUAUUUAAGCUAUUCUCAUUUGUUUCGA
This is a long non-coding RNA of Salvia splendens (bonfire salvia), 927 nucleotides long. RefSeq lists it as uncharacterized. Lineage: Eukaryota; Viridiplantae; Streptophyta; Magnoliopsida; Lamiales; Lamiaceae. The transcript has 2 exons. The record is from RefSeq and is a predicted model, not a curated record.